Molecule: unclassified non-coding RNA, 22 nt
Filed under: Chlamydomonas reinhardtii
Lineage: Eukaryota; Viridiplantae; Chlorophyta; Chlorophyceae; Chlamydomonadales; Chlamydomonadaceae
Description: small RNA Cre_3959
Source: RNAcentral
UUGCGUGGAUAGACGCGUGCGG